AUUGACCGCUGGCGGCAGGCCUAACACAUGCAAGUCGAACGAGUGGCGGACGGGUGAGUAAUGUCUGGGAAACUGCCUGAUGGAGGGGGAUAACUACUGGAAACGGUAGCUAAUACCGCAUACCAUCAGAUGUGCCCAGAUGGGAUUCGCUCGUUGGUGGGGUAACGGCUCACCAAGGCGACGAUCCCUAGCUGGUCUGAGAGGAUGACCAGCCAGACUGGAACUGAGACGCGGUCCAGACUCCUACGAGAGGCAGCAGUGGGGAAUAUUGAACAAUGGGCUCAAGCCGGAUGCAGCCAUGCCGCGUGUAUGAAGAAGGCCUUCGGGUUGUAAAGUACUUUCAGCGGGGAGGCGUUACCCGCAGAAGAAGCACCGGCUAACUCAGAGAUAGCAGCCGCGUUAAUAU
Molecule: ribosomal RNA, 406 nt
Filed under: uncultured bacterium
Lineage: Bacteria
Description: partial 16S ribosomal RNA
Rfam family: Bacterial small subunit ribosomal RNA
Source: RNAcentral